RNAcentral lists this ribosomal RNA (422 nucleotides) under uncultured Actinomycetes bacterium. RNAcentral describes it as "bacterial SSU rRNA". It matches the Rfam family "Bacterial small subunit ribosomal RNA", at positions 233 to 671 of the family's 1533-position model. The record is from RNAcentral. Lineage: Bacteria; Bacillati; Actinomycetota; Actinomycetes.
GCGGCCUAUCAGCUUGUUGGCGGGGUAACGGCCCACCAAGGCUUCGACGGGUAGCUGGUCUGAGAGGAUGAUCAGCCACACUGGGACUGAGACACGGCCCAGACUCCUACGGGAGGCAGCAGUGGGGAAUCUUGCUCAAUGGGCGAAAGCCUGAAGCAGCAACGCCGCGUGCGGGAUGAAGGCCCUCGGGUCGUAAACCGCUUUCAGUAGGAACGAAAAUGACGGUACCUACAGAAGAAGGUCCGGCUAACUACGUGCCAGCAGCCGCGGUAACACGUAGGGACCGAGCGUUGUCCGGAUUUAUUGGGCGUAAAGAGCUCGUAGGCUGUUCAGUAAGUCAGAUGUGAAAACUCUGGGCUUAACCCAGAGCCUGCAUUUGAUACUGCUGUGACUUGAGUUCGGUAGGGGAGACUGGAAUUCCU